GAUGAGAACGUAGCGAAAUGCGAUAAGUAAUGUGAAUUGCAGAAUUCAGUGAAUCAUCGAAUCUUUGAACGCACAUUGCGCCCGCUAGUAUUCUGGCGGGCAUGCCUGUCCGAGCGUCAUUUCAACCCUCAAGCCCCCGGGCUUGGUGUUGGGGAUCGGCGAGCCUCCGCGCCCGCCGUCCCCUAAAUCUAGUGGCGGUCUCGCUGUAGCUUCCUCUGCGUAGUAGCACACCUCGCACUGGGAAACAGCGCGGCCACGCCGUUAAACCCCCAACUUCUGAACGUUUGACCUCGGAUCAGGUAGGAAUACCCGCUGAACUUAAGCAUAUCAAUAAGCGGAGA
This 341-nucleotide unclassified non-coding RNA is filed under the name soil metagenome. RNAcentral's name for it is "partial contains 5.8S ribosomal RNA, internal transcribed spacer 2, and large subunit ribosomal RNA". The stretch from base 5 to 119 matches the Rfam family "5.8S ribosomal RNA", at positions 40 to 154 of the family's 154-position model. The record is from RNAcentral.